UGUCUUGCCACCGCUGCCACCGCCA
RNAcentral lists this unclassified non-coding RNA (25 nucleotides) under Mus musculus (house mouse). RNAcentral's name for it is "oocyte_clustered_small_RNA13122". Lineage: Eukaryota; Metazoa; Chordata; Mammalia; Rodentia; Muridae. The record is from RNAcentral.